RNAcentral lists this long non-coding RNA (448 nucleotides) under Gallus gallus (chicken). Its description in RNAcentral is "long non-coding RNA NONGGAT008458". Lineage: Eukaryota; Metazoa; Chordata; Aves; Galliformes; Phasianidae. The record is from RNAcentral.
UUUUCUCUGUAGCAAAUACAAAAACUUGGAACUACUUUAAUUCUAGUAUUUUCUAGCUCAGAAACUCCCCAUUUUGAGAAGCAAAGGUGAGAACCUUUAAUUUGAUAUUUGAGCACAAAAAUGAAUGAUCAGGAUUUGUGUUUUUGAAAGAGUGCAAUUAUGCUAGUGUGUUACUCACGGAAGUUAAUUUCUUUCUAGAGCUUCUGAAGCAUACAGUGGAAAGUGCAAUGAAUGAGAACUAAGAAGCAUAAAACCUAUGGAUCUCAUGAUGACUCUGAUAUAGCAGUCUUUUUUUUGUAAAAGGAAAAGGACUAACCACUUCAAACUUGCACAGGGACUCUCAGCAGAAACUUGUCUGUCAGCAGCGCACAGAAACAUUCAGGAACUCCUGGAGUUGCCUUUUGCUCUCUAAGAAUCUUAUGAAAGAAAGCAAAAUAGCUGCUGCUGA